ACUCCCAGACUUUAAGGGACAUUCCCCUUCUCAGCCCCCAAGAGGGAGAAGGGGAGACCCGACUUCCCUGUUGCCUGAAACCAAAUUCCAGCAGCCCUGAGGUAGUACUACCCGUUUGGAAAAAGGCCUAAGUCUCACUUUUCUUCCUCACAUUCUUCCCAAAGGCUUGUUUGGACCAAGGCAGGGGCCACCUCCCCUUAGCAGUACAGGGACACCUCCAAGGAACUGUGACUGCCCCACCCCCAGCCAAGCCCACAGCACUCAGAAUCCUUGGCAGAGAAGGCUCCCCCAGUCUCUGGGCUCCUACUGCUCAAAGGCAGUGCCUGGGGGCAGAGGGUGACCCCAGCUCUCUCCAGCCCCAACCCAUCUCCUUCUGGAAACUCCCAUCAGCCAAGGAAGGAGUGCUGGGGUGCUGGGACCUAGGGGGUUGUUGAGCCUGGGAGGGGGACUACAUCUCCCAGAAGCCCCCAGGGCAGGGUUCGCUGCUCCAGCUGGCCCAAGGCCGGCCUUGUUCUCUAUGCUAGGGUGGCAGGGUCCCCAGGCUGCCCCUAAGCCCUUCUCCCUAUGCUUUGGGGCUGCCAACCUAAUUGGGGGCCUAUGAGUAGCCUCCACUGCCCCUGGGGGCGUCCUCCUCCCCUUGAACAGCCUGGGGGUGCGUGCCAGAAGGCAAGAAACAAUCAGACUGUGUUUCCCCCUCCCCGAUUCAAACUGGAUCUCCCUCCUCACGCUGCUGCUGGCCUGCCAUGACUUUCGCCCUAGCCCCCAGCCCACCCCUCACCUCGCGCAGGUCGGGGGUCCUCACGCCAGGCCGGAGCUGGAAGCCAUGACCAGUACAUCAUGAGGACAUAGACUGAAUUUUCAUCUCAAGUCUCAGCAGGGGUGUAAAGUGGAUGGUAAGAAAAUGUUUGUGGAAGUGAAACCUUUGUCUUUUCAAAAGAAAUUUCUCCUAACCUUAAAAGGCUUUCUUCCCCCCACCUACCUCUCUACCCCUCUCUCUCUCUCUCUCUCUCUCUCUCUCUCUCUCUCUCUCUCUCUCUCUCUCUCUCCACCUAAAGAAUAGUAGAUACAUUGAAAAAGAAAUUAUAAGGCAGUUUUUAAAAACAUCACAUGUUAUUUCAGUGUUCAUCAUGAACUUGCAAGAAAGAUAUUUUGGCCCCAUUACACAGAUGAGGAAACUGAGACUUGCAUUAUAUAAGGAUUUACUCAGGAUUACACAACUAGAUCAUGGUAAGCCCAGGACUAGAAGUUGGAUUUCUUUAUCCCUGGAUACCUUCCCCACCCACCCAGAAUUAAUACCAACAAUUGAUAAGCAUUGAUUAUUUCAGAAGGAAAUGAAACUAACAAGUCUAUUUGCUCCUUUCUGUUCCCAAUUGUCCUCUCUCUCCAGAAAGCUCUAGCUCCAGUGACCUCCCUCUCUUCUGACCACCUAUUAUUUGUGUACCACCCAUCUGAAUGCUUACUUGUAUUUUCCUUGUUUCUCCUGUGUGUAUGUCUGGUUGGUGCCAAAAGAUUCUUAAGGGCUCAGACUAUGCCUUCUAUCCUCUGUGUUCACCCAAGGUUGGCUCAAGUCCUGGCUAGGUUCAUAGUGGAACUUCAGUAAAUCUUGACUUGAUGGAUUGAUGGUGCCAGAAACUAGGUACUGAGCAAGGUCUGGGGAGGUUCAAAUGUGUGUGUAGUAGGGGGAUGAAGAUACCCUGACAAACAGAUGAUAACAUAACCUUUCCUGUGUGCCUAACACAAUCACAGUUUACGAAGCACUUUCAUGAACAUCAUCUCACGAUCAUGCUUUAAUCCAAUCAAAAAACUUUCCCAAGUACCUACUAAGAACUGUGCUAGGUUAGGGGUUGAAACGUCAUAAUUCUGAGUUAAGUCUUAUCUUCAUUUAAAGGCCAUGAAACUGAAGCCCAGAGUGACAAUCCCAGCACCUAGGAUAGUACCUGGCUCUGGGAAUUAGGGUUUAAUUUCUUUUCUUUUCUCCAGGAUCCCCAGGGGAUAGACUGCAUCUCAAAGCAGCGGGCCGGUCCUAAAACAUAAUAGUUUUUAGGAGGGUCCACUCCAUUUACUUGGGUCAGUAUCACGUAUAUGACAAGCCACAUGGGCCUUUUCGGAUCCUUUUGGCACAAGUUCAAUUCAUAGUAGGUCCAGAAAACAAUGUUUGUAGGGAUGAGGGUGGACUUGUUGCAAGGGGUCUCAAAUGUGGUACACAGUCAAGUUCAAGAGUGUUCGGUAUGUUCUGUGGAGCAGCCAUGUGGAGCGGAGCGCUCCCUAGGGUGGGGCUGUGACUCAUUCCCCCAGCGUAGGUUCCAGGUCGAGAUGCCGAGCAGAGCUCUGGGCAGCCACGAGUUCUGGGUGGAACCCUGGAGCGAAAAAAGAGGCGAGCGGCCCAUUGCUGGAAUCGAGCAGCCCCCUCUACUGGAGAACUCGGGGAACCACUGUGUUUCGUAUAUCUGUGUGUCACUGUGUCACGAGGGAUGUCACAGGUGUGUCAGCGAGAGUCGGUGUGGGCAUUUGUGGGUGGACGUGCCGGCAUGGGUAAGAGUGUGUGAGGGUGACUGUUCGUGGCUCACUGUGGCUGUGCCAGCGCCAUUAGGGGCUUUUUCUGGAAACACAGUGUGUACCCACAACCACAUCUUGUGUUAUAAUUUAUUUACUUUGGGGAUGGGGGUAGGGGAGGCCCUAGCGAUGCUUAUUAUCUGAAAUUACGUAUCUUCCUGUUACUGGAAUUACUGGGAAGAACCGAUCUUCCAGCUGACAUUCCUCACCUGAUCGUUCAGUAGCUUGAGAAGGUGGGAGCGGGUCGGCCCAGGGGAGCAUUUCCUGGGAAGCGACUCCACGCGCUGAAGCAACCGUGGACCCAAGAAAGGGUUAACCCGGAGCCCCACAAUGACUUCAAUCAUUGGUUCAGCGUACUGUCAGUCAGCGUUAUGAGGGCGGGGUUUUCGAGGUAGCAGUCGGAUUGCCUGACGCCCCUCAGUUGCCCCUCGACCCCCCACAUCAUUUCACCCCCAUCUCGGUGGAGACACCUUCCUGGGCCCUGGAGGAAAAGCAGAUCCGGGCAUCCUGGCUUCCCUACUCUCUCCAGCUGCCUGGCUUCCUGGCUUCCUGAUAGAUGAGACAGGUCUCACUGAGUUGCUUAUACCUCACUUUUCCUGACACUGGCUUUGAACUUCCAAUCCUCCUGCCUCAGCCUCCCAAGAUGCUGGGAUUACAGGCGCACCUGGCUUCUCUUCUCUUUUUCUACUGUCUUCUAAGAUUUAAGGUACCUGCAUAGGCAGUUCACCCAAUGGGAGACAAUUCUGUCAUUUUGUACAUUGUGAUAUCUAACUUAUUUGCCUUUUCUUCCAGGAACUCCUUUCUGAUGGAGGACUCUGCCUACUUAUUCAUUCAACAAAUACCUAUUGAGAUCUACUAUGUGCCAGGCACUGGACUAGAACUAGACAUAUGUUAGUGACAAAACAGAUAAGGUCCUUACUCUUACACAGCUGACAGCCUAGCUGGGGACAGACAGGUAAAGAAAGGAUUUCAAUUCAGUGUAAUUAGGGGUUAGGGAGCACUUAGGAAAGACCUUACCCAUGUUUUGGGUAACUGCAGUAUGGAUCACUAUCUGAACUGAGACUUCAUACAAGCCUCAGGUGUGGUUCAAUCCAGGCAGACAGUGCAUAUCUCACUGGAGUUCCAAAGAUAGACAGGAUUGCAGCAAGAGGUCUAGACCAGAUGUCAUAAGAGAUCACUAAGGCUUAAUUUCCAUAAAAUCCCUUGCUAAUAAAUUCUCCAAAUCCCCAAAGUAAGAAAAUGGGCCUGAGAGUCCAGAGUAUGUGACAUCGGCCUAGUCAGUCCCACUCUCUGGGCCUUACUUCAUUCUUCUUGUUAUUUUUUAACCUACCUCUCAGGCAAGAUCUUGGUUUUCUUCAAAUAUUAAAAAGAAAGAAAGAUGGGUUGAAUGUAGCUCCAAGAUCUUUAUUCUGAAGACCGCAAUUAGAUAGCAGGCUUGUUGAGAGGGAUAAACACUUAGCUUUGACCAGCAUGGGGAGGGGGCAGAGUUCUUAAACCCAGAAGCAGGUGCUUGCCUAGUGUGUGCAGGGUCCUGGGUUUGAUCCCCAGCACCACAAAAUAAAUAAGCAUAAAGCUAGGAGAAUUUAUCAGAGGCAGGAUCCUCAAAAGAAGUCGAAACCAGUCAACCCUACUCCUUGCCUGCUGCCCACUGGUCUGGCAGUUCUAAGUCCUGGGAACAUAAUUCUUGCCAUUUAAUUCUUGUGUUAAAGGCAAGAGCCUUUCUGAGAUACUUCUGGGAGCAGAGUGCUUUGGGGGGCAGUGCUUACAUUACUUUUAUAUGUAGCACUACAGAACUGAUAUUUUUAAGAGGUGAAAGGCUUCCACACUGGUGAAAGGACUUGCCUGAGAUCACGUGGUGGAUGAGUGAUAGCUGGAAGUCUAAUUCCACAUCCAGACUCUUUCCACGACACCACCAUAGCACUUGUUUCCAACUUUCCAUUGGACUUCUUCCUGUGUCUGGCUCAUUUCCCUGUGAGGCCAUAAGAUCUGGGAAGGCAGGCUUGGCCUCCUUAUCUGGACCCCCCAGAGCCUGGACGGGGUGCUCAGAACUGCUAGUCUCCCAGGUACCCCCUUUUUUCUCCAAGCCUAACCCUAUUGACAUGCAUAUAGACCCCUGGGUCAUUUUUACAAAGCUUCCCUGGAUUAUGGACAAAGCCCUGGGCCAGACAUAGUCAAAGUACCAGUCAGACCUAAAACCUGGUCUGUGACUUGAAGUAAACUGAUUAACACUGAUUAACUUCCCUAGCCUUCAAGUUCUGUUGAGACCCAUAACCUAACUCCUAGGCCUUUUGUAACUUGAAAUCCAAGCUUGGGAAGUGUUUUUAAAAAACAUAGCUCAGAGGGGCUGGGGAUGUGGCUCAAGCGGUAGCACGCUCGCCUGGCAUGUGUGCGGCCCGGGUUCGAUCCUUAGCACCACAUAAAAACAAACAUGUUGUGUCCGCCAAAAACUAAAAAAUAAAUAUUAAAAAAAUUAUCUCUCUCUCUAAUAUAUAUAUAUAUAUAUAUAUAUAUAUAUAUAUAUAUAUAUAUGAGAGAAAGAGCGCUCAGAGGUCUUUUUUCAGGAUCCCACAGCCUCAGGACCAUGUGUGUGCUAUCUGCAGAGACUGGGGUGCUACGAAACUAGGGCACUUACACCAUGGUACUAUGCUUAGUCCUAUGAAAGUUACAGGAUGUGUGAGCUGAAUCUAUUCUGGACCCCUACAACCCAAACACUGAUCAUAAUUGUAAAACUGAAUUCUAGGUUUUAUUUGUAUCUUUGGAAGGCUGUCCAGUUCAUAACCUACAACCACUUGUGUUCAAAUUCCCUUUCUUUUGCUGCUUUGCUACACCUUGCAACAGUCACGGUCACUCUGAAAACUCCAAAUCAGCCCCUCGGUCCUUGGUAGUCAACAGAGCUUUUGUCUUCCUCUGUCCACUGUCAUCUCCCACUUGCACACUGCAUGGAUUGGUGGAGACACUCCACUUUCAUUAUUUUCUUCUUUUCUUCCCCCUCUCACCUACUGUCCUGUCUCCUAGUUCUGUAUUACAAAAGCCAUGGGAGGAGCAGGCCAAGACAAGAUUUCCAGCGACAGGUGAGGGAUAAAAUUAUCUUGGGGGUGAGAGGAGGCGGGGCAGAGGAAGGCUGGGGGCAGUCAAUUUUUAGUUGUUUUUGGUUUUGGUUUGUUUUGUAGUACUGGGGAUCAAACCAGGGUCUCACACCUGCUAGGCAUGUGCUCUACCACUGAGCUACAUCCCCAAACCUUUUUAUUUUAUUUCAUUCAGUGUCUUACUAAGUAGCUCAGGCUAACUUUGAACUUGUGAUGAUCUUGCCUCAACCUCUCAAAUAGUUGGAAUUACAGAUUUGCACUACUGUAUCCAACUAAUGAUUAGGAAGUUUUAUCCUGUCACAGAUAACAUAGGUAUCUACCCUCUAGGGGCAAAUGAGAUGGGGAUAAUGAAAGAACAAUAAAGAAUGCUAAAUAAUGAAAAGGUGUGGAGGUUAUGCAGUCAGUUCAGGUUGCAAGCUCGGGGAGAUGGAGAAUGAGGAAACUGACCUGAGUCUGGAAGGAGAGGCCAGGUGGGUACCAGGGAGCAGAGAGGGCCGGGUAAGGGGCACAAGAAGAGCACAAGCAGGAGCAAUCCUGUUCUUGGACCUCAAAAACCAACUACCUAGGAGCUGGGGUUGUGGCUCAGUGGUAGAGCGCUUGCCUAGCAUGUGUGAGGCCCUGGUUUCGAUCCUCAGCACUACAUAAAAAUAAAUAAAAUAAAGGUAUUGUGUCCAACUA
Ictidomys tridecemlineatus (thirteen-lined ground squirrel) is the source of this 6317-nucleotide non-coding RNA. NCBI's taxonomy places the organism in Eukaryota, Metazoa, Chordata, Mammalia, Rodentia, Sciuridae. The record is from RefSeq and is a predicted model, not a curated record.